GACGAACGCUGGCGGCGUGCUUAACACAUGCAAGUCGAACGGAAAGGCCCUGCUUUUGUGGGUUGCUCGAGUGGCGAACGGGUGAGUAACACGUGAGUAACCUGCCCUUGAAUUUGGGAUAACUUCAGGAAACUGGGGAUAAUACCGGAUAGGAGCUCCUGAAGCAUGGGGGGGGUUGGAAAGUUUCGGCGGUGUGGGAUGGACUCGCGGCUUAUCAGCUUGUUGGUGGAGUAGUUGAUUUCAAAGGCUUUGACGGGUAGCCGGCAUGAGAGCGUGAACGGGCUCAUUGGGCCUGCGAUACGCCGCAGACUCCUACGGUAGGCAACAGUCGAGAAUAUUGCACAAUGACCGGAAGCCUGAUGCAGCAACGCCGCGUGCGUGAUGACGGCUUUCGGGUUGUAAACCGCUUUCUCCUGUGACGAAGCGUUAUUGACGGUAAUUGGUAAAGAAGCAACGGCUAACUACGUG
This 468-nucleotide ribosomal RNA is filed under the name uncultured bacterium. RNAcentral's name for it is "partial 16S ribosomal RNA". It matches the Rfam family "Bacterial small subunit ribosomal RNA", at positions 28 to 507 of the family's 1533-position model. The record is from RNAcentral.